This is a non-coding RNA of Daphnia pulex (common water flea), 72 nucleotides long. The record is from Rfam. Lineage: Eukaryota; Metazoa; Arthropoda; Branchiopoda; Diplostraca; Daphniidae.
GGGGGUAUAGCUCAUUGGUAGAGCAUUCGACUUCAGAUCGAAAUGUCCCCGUUUCAACCCCGGAUGCCUCCU